Molecule: long non-coding RNA, 468 nt
Filed under: Cyanistes caeruleus (blue tit)
Lineage: Eukaryota; Metazoa; Chordata; Aves; Passeriformes; Paridae
Description: lncRNA (ENSCCEG00000009820.1)
Source: RNAcentral
UCUCUCCCUGGUGGUGGAGCUUGUGCCAGCAUUCUCCCAGCAGCGAAGCCUCAAACUAUGAGAGGCCUCAGCAGCAAUAGCAGCCAUCCCACGCUGGAGCAAAAACCAGAGCCACGAGUUUCCAGGGGUGCUAUUCAAAAACACUGUCAGAGACUGGCUUUCCAAACAAAGAUCUUCCCAACAAACUAAGAGAGCUACUCCUCAUCCAUAGCAUUUUCCAGUCACAGCUGAAGUUACAAUGAUUCCUAAUGUUUGUGUCAUAUGGCAUAUGCUCACUCUCUACCAUAUUCGGAAGCACAUGGGACUGGAUCUCAACACAUGACUGGUCUUGCCAAAUGCUGCACUAGCCGUCCUGUGAAACUGCAGCUUGCUACCCCUGCCAGGCAACACUCACACAGCCUAAUAAACAAACAAGAGCAGGAAGAAGACAAGGAGGAAGGGGAAGGAGGAAAAGGCUGCAUAAAAUAA